UGAUAAAUAUGUAUAUAUGUGUAUGCAAGUGUUUGUAGGUAUGUACACAUGUAUGUACUGACAUACAUAGGACAGCUAUCAGAAUUGACCACAUUGAGGAACUAGAAGGAGAUCUAGAAGUGGAAGUCCAAAUUCUGUUGCUGGUAUGAGAAUGCUUCACAACAAAAUUGGGAUUCUUCACUACAUUCUUUGAUACUCACAGCCAAGAAGACAAAACUGCUAAGACCUCAAGAACAAACCUAGAUACAAACCGCAUUUUGGCCCAAUAUCAACUUGGUUCCUAAAAGAGAAGGAAUCACUCAAAUGCACUUGCUACACAACGCUUUGAUGGUAUAACCUAGGUUUAGAAUUGUCAAACAUUCUAGAAUGUAAAUGUAUAAAAAUAUGGAAGCUGGGGCUGGGGAUAUAGCCUAGUGGCAAGAGUGCCUGCCU
Molecule: long non-coding RNA, 432 nt
Organism: Perognathus longimembris pacificus (Pacific pocket mouse)
Lineage: Eukaryota; Metazoa; Chordata; Mammalia; Rodentia; Heteromyidae
Exons: 3
Source: RefSeq, a predicted model, not a curated record